CAUUAAAUUUACUGUGUUAGUUUUUUUUUAUCUUUUAAUUGUUGGGCAUUUGGAAAAACCUGUAUUCAUUCUUAUUGUUAAUGGUUUAAAUGUUAGAAAUCUUUAAUCUUCAACUGUUUCAUACAAUUUCUACCAAUCAGUUGCAGACUCAAUAACAGAUUGUAAAAAGCGAUUUGGAAGCGAACUCAGCGGAUUGAAAGCGCUUACUCAUCAUUAUCGGACAUUGGCAAUCAGCUGAUUUGGAGCAGCAAAGACGAUCAUUACCAUUACGCUGGUGAUUAACCCCGCACCCAGACCCCAACUACAGUACAAACGGCAACUGGGCCAUCAUCAUGGUUCGUUCGAAAGCAGCUGGAAGAUCUAGCGAUCGUGGUUACCAAACCAACCCAAACCGAACUGAACCGAGCCGAGGUAAGCCAAGCAGACCCAGUAGACUCACUAGACCCACCAGACCAAUCCAAGCCAAGUCGAGAAGAGACAAGACAACCAGGGACAAGACAAAGCCGUGGACAGCCAGACAAUCAGCCAGCCAAGCCAGGCAGCUAUUUUGGUGCUUGGCAACAAACAUGGCUCAAAAUGUACGGGACACAUCUCAGUAAGUAUUCGUAAGUCGACAAUAGGCAAAAAUUGAGG
This is a non-coding RNA of Drosophila melanogaster (fruit fly), 633 nucleotides long. The record is from Ensembl. NCBI's taxonomy places the organism in Eukaryota, Metazoa, Arthropoda, Insecta, Diptera, Drosophilidae.